RNAcentral lists this ribosomal RNA (288 nucleotides) under uncultured Burkholderia sp. RNAcentral describes it as "partial 16S ribosomal RNA". It matches the Rfam family "Bacterial small subunit ribosomal RNA", at positions 8 to 298 of the family's 1533-position model. Lineage: Bacteria; Pseudomonadati; Pseudomonadota; Betaproteobacteria; Burkholderiales; Burkholderiaceae. The record is from RNAcentral.
AGAGUUUGAUCCUGGCUCAGAUUGAACGCUGGCGGCAUGCCUUACACAUGCAAGUCGGACGGCAGCGCGGGAGCAAUCCUGGCGGCGAGUGGCGAACGGGUGAGUAAUACAUCGGAACGUGUCCUGGAGUGGGGGAUAGCCCGGCGAAAGCCGGAUUAAUACCGCAUACGCUCUGAGGAGGAAAGCGGGGGAUCUUCGGACCUCGCGCUCAAGGGGCGGCCGAUGGCAGAUUAGGUAGUUGGUGGGGUAAAGACCUACCAAGCCGACGAUCUGUAGCUGGUCUGAGAG